AGCUCGGUGGUGUAGUGGUAGCACGCAUCCCUGUUGUGGAUGAAGCGUGGGUUCGACUCCCUCCUGAAGUCG
Non-coding RNA from Parelaphostrongylus tenuis, 72 nucleotides. The record is from the annotation of a GenBank genome assembly. NCBI's taxonomy places the organism in Eukaryota, Metazoa, Nematoda, Chromadorea, Rhabditida, Metastrongylidae.